Molecule: transfer RNA, 77 nt
Filed under: Pseudooceanicola spongiae
Lineage: Bacteria; Pseudomonadati; Pseudomonadota; Alphaproteobacteria; Rhodobacterales; Paracoccaceae
Description: Pseudopuniceibacterium antarcticum tRNA-Arg
Rfam family: tRNA
About the family: Transfer RNA (tRNA) molecules are approximately 80 nucleotides in length. Their secondary structure includes four short double-helical elements and three loops (D, anti-codon, and T loops).
Source: RNAcentral
GCACCCAUAGCUCAGCUGGAUAGAGCGCUGCCCUCCGAAGGCAGAGGCCACAGGUUCGAAUCCUGUUGGGUGCACCA